CCUAUCAGCUUUCGACGGUAUGGUAUUGGCUUACCGUGGCAGUGACGGUUAACGGGGGAUUAGGGUUCGAUUCCGGAGAGGGAGCCUGAGAAACGGCUACCACAUCUAAGGAAGGCAGCAGGCGCGCAAAUUACCCAAUUCUAACAGUUUGAGAGAGGUAGUAACAAGAAAUAACAAUACAAGGCAGUUAAAAUGCUUUGUAAUUGGAAUGAUAGAAAUUUAAACCCUUUUUAAAGUAUCAAUUGGAGGGCAAGUCUGGUGCCAGCAGCCGCGGUAAUUCCAGCUCCAAUAGCGUAUAUUAAAAUUGUUGCAGUUAAAAAGCUCGUAGUUGAAGUUCUGCUAAAAGUAACCGGUCUGCUUUUAAUAAAAGUGGUAUCUUGGUGUGUAUUUAGCAAUGAUGUCCUUUGAAGUGUUUUUUACUUUAUUGUAAUAAAGCAUAUUCAGGACUUUUACUUUGAGAAAAUUAGAGUGUUUCUAGCAGGCUGACGCUUUGAAUACUGCAGCAUGGAAUAAUAAGAUAGGAUUUUAGUUCUACAUUAUUGGUUUUAAGAGCUAAAUUAAUGAUUGAUAGGGACAGUUGGGGGCAUUUGUAUUUAACUGUC
RNAcentral lists this ribosomal RNA (602 nucleotides) under Hepatozoon sp. JPM-2014. Its description in RNAcentral is "bacterial SSU rRNA". It matches the Rfam family "Eukaryotic small subunit ribosomal RNA", at positions 311 to 906 of the family's 1831-position model. The record is from RNAcentral. Lineage: Eukaryota; Apicomplexa; Hepatozoidae.